UGGGGAAUAUUGCACAAUGGGCGCAAGCCUGAUGCAGCCAUGCCGCGUGUAUGAAGAAGGCCUUCGGGUUGUAAAGUACUUUCAGCGAGGAGGAAGGCGUUGUGGUUAAUAACCGCAACGAUUGACGUUACUCGCAGAAGAAGCACCGGCUAACUCCGUGCCAGCAGCCGCGGUAAUACGGAGGGUGCAAGCGUGAAUCGGAAUUACUGGGCGUAAAGCGCACGCAGGCGGUCUGUCAAGUCGGAUGUGAAAUCCCCGGGCUCAACCUGGGAACUGCAUCCGAAACUGGCAGGCUAGAGUCUUGUAGAGGGGGGUAGAAUUCCAGGUGUAGCGGUGAAAUGCGUAGAGAUCUGGAGGAAUACCGGUGGCGAAGGCGGCCCCCUGGACAAAGACUGACGCUCAGGUGCGAAAGCGUGGGGAGCAAACA
RNAcentral lists this ribosomal RNA (427 nucleotides) under uncultured bacterium. RNAcentral's name for it is "partial 16S ribosomal RNA". It matches the Rfam family "Bacterial small subunit ribosomal RNA", at positions 355 to 774 of the family's 1533-position model. The record is from RNAcentral.